Molecule: non-coding RNA, 203 nt
Organism: Oryza nivara
Lineage: Eukaryota; Viridiplantae; Streptophyta; Magnoliopsida; Poales; Poaceae
Source: Rfam
UUUAAGUGUAACCAUAAGUUUAUGCGCCCAAUUUUGAUCGUCCGUGUUGUUUGAAAUUUUUUUAUAGUUAGUACUUUUGUUAUGAGAUGAUAAAAUAUGAAUAGCACUUUACUCGUGACUUAUGUUUUUAAUUUUUUUAAAAAAUAUUUUUAAAUAAGAUGGACGGUUAAAGUUAGGUGUAGAAAAUCAUUGCUGCAUUUAAA